RNAcentral lists this ribosomal RNA (497 nucleotides) under uncultured bacterium. RNAcentral's name for it is "partial 16S ribosomal RNA". It matches the Rfam family "Bacterial small subunit ribosomal RNA", at positions 28 to 507 of the family's 1533-position model. The record is from RNAcentral.
GAUGAACGCUGGCGGCGUGCCUAAUACAUGCAAGUCGAGCGAACAGAUGAGGAGCUUGCUCCUCUGACGUUAUCGGCGGACGGAUGAGUAACACGUGGAUAACCUACCUAUAAGACUGGGAUAACUUCGGGAAACCGGAGCUAAUACCGGAUAAUAUAUUGAACCACAUGGUUCAAUAGUGAAAGACGGUUUUGCUGUCACUUAUAGAUGGAUCCGCGCCGCAUUAGCUAGUUGGUAAGGUAACGGCUUACCAAGGCAACGAUGCGUAGCCGACCUGAGAGCGUGAAUCGCUAGACGGUAUGUGAGACACGGCACAGACUCCGACGGUAGGCAGCAGUAGGGAAUCUUACGCAAGGGGGGAAAGCCUGACGUAGCAACGUCGCGUGAGUGAUGAAGGUCUCCUGAUCGGAAAACUCUGUUAUUCGGGAAGAACAAAUGUGUAAGUAACUAUGCACGUCUUGACGGUACCUAAUCAGAAAGCCACGGCUAACUCCGUG